RNAcentral lists this unclassified non-coding RNA (6912 nucleotides) under Hevea brasiliensis (rubber tree). The record is from RNAcentral. Lineage: Eukaryota; Viridiplantae; Streptophyta; Magnoliopsida; Malpighiales; Euphorbiaceae.
AUAUAUAUAUAUAUAUAUAUAAACUACCCUCAUAUAAAUUACUUUUAGUGUGGAUUUCCUCCAGUAGAUGACUAGUUCUCAAGUUCUGAGAAACCAGUCUGUAAGUGAAACUGUACACCUAACUAAUGGCCUCUACUCCCUGAUCCAAUAUCCAAGUUAUUGUGUGAGCGUAACUUCAUAUAUACAUAUAACACGGUGCAAAGGCAUCAUUUUUGCACACCCAUACCGGCAGUCCACAAGCCCAUAAACCAAGUGUCUUAGUCAGGUUUACGAAUUUGGCUUCAAAAUUUGAACAGCCUUUGUUUGAUAGAUUUAGAUUCCUUGCAAAGGAAUGCAACCUUUUAAUACUCAUCCUCCCGAAUCUUUUCUUUUCUUGCCUGAUCUGCUUUGUGGUUUGACAUUUUCAAUUGAAUCCAAAUUAGAAGUCCUUAGAAUUGGCUUGCUGCUUGGCUUUGAAUUGCUUGCCAGAUCUGUAUGAGGUGAAGAAUCAUUGUCCGAUUUGCUACCAACUUCUGCUUUUUCUUUAGGAGAGGGGAGAAAAGGUUUUUCAUAGAUAAUGGCAGCAUCCAAGCUGUGUAUUCUAAGGGCAAGAGAAGAGAUGGUAGCUAUUUGUGCUGCAGUAUAAAGUGAUGACCAAUACCACCAUUCAUUUCUCAAGUAGUCAGACUUGAUCAUGUUUUCAAAUACAAUUGUUGCUUGAACCAUCUCAAAUAUUGAUUUGGUAGAUUUGACAAAUGCUCGCCAGGCACAUCGUUUUUCCAAAUAAGCCUUUGAUGACUUUAGUGCUCCUUCGGGGAGGGCAGCAUCCAUAUCAAGCAAGUUGAUCUUGAGCUGCCUAAGAAUUUGAGCCCCCUUCCCCACAAGGGGUCUUAAAGAAGAAUCAUGAAUUUUAGAUGAAGUGUUCCUCCAUUUUGAACAGCUACUUCGCAAAGAGUAUUGAUCUCUCUUGUCAUUCUUCAAAUUUGAUUUUCCAAUUUCUUGUAAUUCCUUAUAAAUUUCACCUGUUGUGCAACUCUUAAUUGAUUUAAUGGAAUUAAGAUGUUUCUUGCUGGUCAACAUGUUGCCGUUCAUGGCUAGCUGUGACUGAUUUUCCACACUUGUGGACCUAUCACUCUGACUAACCUCAUUUUUCCAGGGAAGUACUAACUUCAAUGUGGGGUCACUGAGAUAAGGAGAUCCACAUGCUACAAAUGAUGGAAUGCCGUUUGAACCAAGAAGUCCUAUUUCCUUCACCAGUUCCUUAAUAGAGCUCCUAGUAACAAACUUGGUACUUAUCUCUUCAAGAUUGUAAGGUGAUAAAAAGUCCUUUGGAUAUCUUACCAUCCCAAACUCAAUCUCAUGCCCCACACUACUGGACUUGCAUUUUCUCGUUUUGUCAGAGCACUCUCCCUGUUCCAUCUUCAUCAAUGCCUUCCCCUUUGAGACAUCAUCAAUUUUGCCAUUCUGAGAGGCACGCACAACAGAACUGCACUUUCCAUCAUUAUGCUCUUUGAGUUCAUAUUUAGAGGAAAAUGACCAGUGGCAAUAUUGACAAUGGUGCCUAGAAGGCCAUAUAGGCUCUAGGCAUUCACAUCGGCACAUUCUUUUGUCAUAAGUUACUUCUGCAGUCUGACUCUUCUUCACUGAAAUGUUGGCGACAUCCGGUUCCAAGCAAGGACCAUACUUCUUCUCCAGUGCAAUUAAUGCUUUAGUCUCAAGAGCAUUAGAUUUCACAGUUUUUUCAACAUUCACAGGUAUUAGAGUCGGUUGAUGCAUCUCUUGAACAUUAUCACCCGUUUUAUUGGAGUUAUUAUAUCCAAAUUUCAACCGCUGCAAAAGAGAAUCUAUCAACUCUCUCUGCAUUGGGUCACUAUGCCUCAACCAUUGAAUAAGUUCUUCAAUUUCAACAUCAGAUUUAUAUGAAAGCCAUUGAAAAGACACUGGAGUGCCAUUAGUCAUAUCACUAAAAUAUGGACCAAUAACAUUUGAUCCUUUGAACUUCAAUGCAUCAUCUGUUCCAACUGGAGGAGACUUGGGAGUUAGAUUGUUAAACAACAGUUCCCCAUGCUCUUCAACAAUGCUCUUUUGCUGCAUUGCUACAGUCCCAUCAACAACCACCCAUGAAGAUGAAGCUGGCCUGAAAAAGGCCCAGUACAGUCGUCCAGCGGAGUCCCUCCCUAAAAAAUCCUUCCUGAGAGAUACCUUCUGUAAUUGCAAGUCUAGACAGGCAAUUGAAUCCUGCAAGACAGAAAUCCUAUUCUUGAUAGAGAUUGCCUCAAGGUUCCAGGCCUGUAACUCAUUCAGAUCAGGUUGGUUUGCUUGAUGUUCAGAAUCAGGAACCUUAAUAAACUGACUUCCACAACAGGCAGAGUGUUGCUCGGGAAUACCUUUUGGGUGAAAGCAGCAUGGUUGCAUCGUAAAAUCAUUUGUCCUGUGAAACUGUGGACCAUCCUCCAAAUAUAGCAGAUCAAUGGAGGGGUUUGAACAUGAACUGUGUCUAUUAAAAGACUGCCCCAUCAAUUUAUCGUAGUUUGGGAGCACAGUAGCCAUCCGUUCCAUUCCAGAUUUUCCAACACCAUCAAGCACACUUGUAUUUGCUUUUGAAACUUUUUCAACAAGGACUUCUUCUCUAGACUUUAGGUUCCUCCAUUCUGCUGAUAGCAAAUGCAGUUUCUGCUGCAAAUCAGCAGAUGCUGAUGCACACUGAUCUAGGUGUUCCCGAAUAUUAGUAGAGUUCAGCACCUCAGCACUCAAAAACUUGAGAAGAAAAAUUCUCUCCUCCACGCUGUACUCCCAAUAAUCCUUCACUUCCAUAGUUUUACCUAAAUGUGCAAGGGCCUCUAGAAUACCACGAGUGAGCUCUCCUUGACAUCUUUUUUUCGGGUAUUGGCAAAUGAACUGAGGAACCUGUGAAGCACCCUGAGUGAUGCGAUGUCCAGGGACACAUGAAGGACAAUACCAAUUUCCUUCAGGUAUUCUUGCAAGAGGAGGAUUUAAGCAAUAUGUGUGAUACCCAGAAUCACAUUUAUCACACAAUAAAACAUUGUCAUCGUCUUUAUCUACACCACAAACUUUACAGACACCUUCAUCCCAAGGAGCUUUGGGAAUCUCACUUGCAUGCUCAAGAAGACCCUCCAAUUCUUUCUUCGCUUCAGAACUUAAGCAUUCCACAGCAGCAUAGCCUGUAAGUUUCUGGACUAGUGUGAGGACCUCUUUUUCAUAAAGUGCCUCAAAAUUUUGAGAGAGUGUUUCAGCCAAAUGGAUCAAAUCAGACUGAUCAGCAUAUGCUGUACGUAUAUGAUGCCAAACCUCCCGAACAUCCUCUAGGAAAGCUUCAUGUGAUCCUCCAUAGGCCCCAAAAGCCAAUCUCAGAUCAAUGGUUCUGAAGUCCAAGGGACGAGGUACCAUUGUAGGGAAUCCAAGCAGUCCCUCAUCAUCAUUAUCAGAAGUGUUAAGAAGGGUUCUUCCAAGCAAAUUACAGAAAACUUUUUCUUCAUCAGCAGCAACAGCACAGCGAAGCACUUUUCGACAUUGUUUCAUUAUCACUUCAGAAAAAGUACAAAUAUACUUGUUUUUUCUCUUCCUAUUAGGUUUCUGCUGCAGAUCUUCGCCACACACAUUUGCCAACACUGAUAGAACAGCUUUCUUGGUAGGUCCUGAAGCAUUUCCCUUGUAGACUUCCUUACUGAUUGAAUGUUCCAAAAUCUUUGUUGCCCAUUCCGGUGGAUUUAGAGCCAAAGCAUCAUAAAUACACCUUCGAAUCCUUGCUCCCACAUUUGUGGGUAGCUUUCUUACAGGUUCUAGAACUCUUGCCCACUCAGGAACUUCACCAUUGUUAACUUUAACUUCUUUGCUAGAACUGGGUGCAACAGAGUCGAUGGAUUCCACAUUUAAAUUGUCACUGAUAUUCUUUGAUGUGCCAAAGAUAUGCUUUGUAGCCUCUGCAAGCAGCAGUGCAUCUGCUUCAAUUACAGCCACUCCUGGAAGAGAACCAUGAAGAGCCCCGCUAUCACCUUGUAAACAAUGAAACACUUUGCAACUUUCACGGCUUACAACCUCCAGAUAAUCAAGAUUACCCUCCACGGAUAAGACUGUUAAUAAAUAUCUUCGAGCCAGUUCAGGCCAUGUAAGUUCAUUGAUUGGGAGUAAAUCAAGCAUUGAUUUCCUAGCAAAACUAAAGUUAUCUGUUUCUUUCUUCCUUCUCUUUCUCAACUUAGACUCUCCACUUUCAAUAGUAGGAUCUACAAUAAAAGCCAGCUUGGACUCUAGCUCGGCUAAUAGUACUUUCAGCAGUGCGCUAUGAGCCUUAGACAAAGCUUUGCCAAUGCAACUGCUAAGGGUAUCAGAUGCUUGUCUCCUAUUGGCACCUUCUCCUGAAGUUUCUGUUUCUGCUGUGAUUAAUGCAUGUUGCCCUUUUGCAGUAACUGUUGAAGUAGAAAUACUCCUAUGAGUAGAGGAAUAACAGUCUACAAGUUCCUCUUCAAGUUCCGAAAAUAAUAAAGGUUUAUCCAGUCCCAAAACUUCUGAGAAGCGCCAUAGUAACUCCCAUGACUGAAGAACAUCACCAACUAAAACUGUAGGAAGCUUUGAGCUCAAUGGCUUGCCAGGGGGACAGAAUUCCUUCAGUAAUUGCUUCUUGUGGUUUUUACAUCCCUUCAAAAUAUUAUACGUUUCUUUCUCACUUUGGACAUCAUCUUUCCUCUUAGCCAGAAGAAAUCCAUUUCCAACAGUUUGUAAUUUUGAUUUUUCACUUCUCUUAUUCAGGAAUGUAUACUCUGAACAGGAAUGAACCCCAGGAAGCAGCUCUAUUAUUUCUUGUACAAAAUCAACAUCCAGUCCAAAUCUGUCCUGGCCUAUCCACUUCAAUAGAGCUUCACAACUAGUAGUAAGCUCAUCAUUGCUUUCAACAUGAAGUGGAAUGCAUAAAGGGUAAGACAUGUGACCAAACUUGGCUAAAGCAUCAGUUGAUUCAAUAGCUUCCACCGUCUUAUGGAUUAUGCCAGAUGACCACCAUUCAUACACAUGCCUGCAAAAAAAUUUACAUACACCGGUCUGUUUGUACACUUCACAACAAGACUGCACCAGCUUCUCAGACACCAUUCUCCAUACUGAAGAAGAUGAUCUCCCUUGCACUAGGAAUUCACCAAUAUCAUCACCUGGUCUUCUAUUACUGAUUGCAGGUUUCCCAAUACCUUGCGGGACAUGAUAUGAAUUUGAUUGCAAACCAUCUAUUCCUUGCAAAUUAGAGACUUCAUCUAAUGAAGUUGCAACACCUGUUAAAAUAUUAAAAUCCAGAUGCGGAGGACUAUGGUCUGAGAAUAUCAUCUGAACACUUAUAUCCUCAUGAUCAUCAAUGUCAAAAGCAUUAUCAGUUUUAUUAUUAUUGCUGCCCAGGCCUGUCCUAGACAGGACUGUUGACCCAAUAGGGAUGGGCUGACUGCAACAUGGAUAUCUUUGAACCUUGAAAACUGGACCACAAUCACCACCAUCUGAAAUAUCACAUACAAAAAGAGAUCCAGUAAUCCUGUCAUGCCAACUGGAUCUAUAACCUACAGGCCAGAUCUGGCUACUGCAGUGAUAGGAAGGUCUCGGAUCAACCUCCCCCACAGAAAGAAUAGAAAAGUCUUCAAACUGGACUGGAAACCCAUCCUUGUAAUGAGAAGAGCCAUAAACACCAGCUGGCUCUGAGUUGGCAUGUGCAGCUCUUAUAUUACUCCUUAACUUGCACGCCUCAGCAUCCAUGAACUCUAUGCCUGAUGAAAACUUGCUAGCAAAACUGCUUUUCAAAUUUUCUUGAUAUUCUUUCAAGUCCUUGCUUCUUGAAAAUAUCAACGAUUCCUUUCUUCUUCUGUGCAAAUGUAACCUGUUCCGUGCUAAAGAAAAUCCAUCAUUUCUGUCCUGAGGCACCAAAGAAUGGCAAUUUGACACCAAGCCAAGAUGACAGGCAACAUCAAACAUUGACUCAAACUUAUUUCCAUCUGGCGAACAAUAAACUGCAAAGGUUUUGCAUCUGUUUUGACAAUAAAAAAAUUCAACACGCCAACCAUCUUCCAGUAUGCCAUGGUUAUCAAAAAUGAAUUCUCUUAAAUUCUGCAAAAACUUUUCACUCUGAUUCUGGAAUAAUACUGUAUUUGCAGAAUAAUCACUUGUCCAAUGUUGUCUUCCUAUAAAGACAGAGUGUGGAUCUAUUUCCCUCAUAGUUCUAACAAAGUUCAUUCUCUGCUGUACAAUAUCUACAGGACCUGAUUUGAUAACAGUUGUCACAUUGCCAGGUAUCUUCACAUUAUCACAUUGAUUCCCCACAAAUAACAAGUUAGAACAUGUCACUGGGGCAUUAUUUGAGUUGCCAAUAGAAGAAGCAUCAGGCACAGAGUGCAUUCCAGAAUUCACCAAUUCACCGUUUCCUUCUCCCUCAGCCUCGCUUGGCAACGCAUUGAUGUCCAAAAACACGAGUUUACUUUUAGCAUCUCUAACAUCCUCGCCCUUCGCCGGCGUUGGAACAACGUCAUCUCCGGUGACAGCGACGACUAUAUCACGAGGAGAAGAGAGAGGUGUCUCGUUAAGAUCGAUAUCAAACGGCAAGGAACGGCUCUCCCCGGACUUCCCAUCAGAAUCGUUCAGCUCCAUAUUCAGAGUUAAACCACUACCAAAGAUCCCGACACCGAGUUCGAACUCAACAGCUUCAGAUUCCUUGUCCUUUCAAGCAUUAUAGUCCAAACGACGCGGGAAAUUCGAGGAAAAAAUCUAGAGAUCGAGGUCAAAGGGGUUAGCGACGGCGUUGGAGGUAAAAUGCGAAAGCGAGCGAAAAAAGAGAGGGAUAUGCGACGGCGAAAUGACCAAAGAGGACAGUGGAAGAAGGGGAGGAGCUGGAUUCUGUUUCUGUGUGUUUAGAAUCGAAGCUGAAAGACAAUGGUAGGUUGUUCUCGGGAGUCG